UACGUAGGGGGCGAGCGUUGUCCGGAUUUAUUGGGCGUAAAGAGCUCGUAGGCGGUUUCGUUAGUCGGGUGUGAAAACUCUAGGCUCAACCUGGAGACGCCACCCGAUACUGCGAUGACUAGAGUCCGGUAGGGGAGACUGGAAUUCCUGGUGUAGCGGUGAAAUGCGCAGAUAUCAGGAGGAACACCGGUGGCGAAGGCGGGUCUCUGGGCCGAAACUGACGCUGAGGAGCGAAAGCGUGGGGAGCGAACAGG
This 254-nucleotide ribosomal RNA is filed under the name uncultured bacterium. RNAcentral describes it as "partial 16S ribosomal RNA". It matches the Rfam family "Bacterial small subunit ribosomal RNA", at positions 524 to 776 of the family's 1533-position model. The record is from RNAcentral.